Mauremys reevesii (Reeves's turtle) is the source of this 976-nucleotide long non-coding RNA. RefSeq lists it as uncharacterized. NCBI's taxonomy places the organism in Eukaryota, Metazoa, Chordata, Testudines, Geoemydidae. The record is from RefSeq and is a predicted model, not a curated record. The transcript is spliced from 3 exons.
UAAAUUGAGUCUCUCUUAAUACCUAGCUUGACAAAAUAAUAUUUUAGAACAAUAGCCGACUACUCCAGGUGUGCCAAAGGGGGAGAAAGAGAAUCGCAUCUUACGCUGUGAAAAUAUUUUUGAUACUUUAGCACCAGGUGUUUUUCUUCAUUCUACUUGUUGUUCAUUCCCCUCUACCGUAAUAACCCACCAAUAUCCUGUAAGCACUGGCUUACAACGAACUGGCAUUUAAAAUAUUGGCCUUCAAAGAAUUGGACCCAGCUAGGAUUUCAGCAGAUCGUGCUUUGAAGGUCCUUGAGUCUGAAUAACAAACAAUAUUAUGUAUUACAUAAUCUGUUAAAAUGAAUUUGAAGGCUCCACCUCCACCCUGGCACAUGAUAAAAAUAUAGGAGUAAAGUGAAAUUGACAUGAGUCCCACAAACAAGUUCCGUGCAAGCAGCCGCUAGACAAUACGUGUUGGCAGAACCAAAGAACUCCCCCUGAGAUAGACUGAAGACACUGUGACCUCAGAGCUGGGAAACAAAUUAUAUCACUCAACCCACAUUUUCUUCUGCUGCAGGAUCCGGAUCCAGCUAUAUUGGCCGAGUGAAGUAUUUUCACCUUGGGGCAACUUACAUCAAGGCAAAGAGUAACAUUUACAACCCCCUGAAAACACUCAGCAAAACUGGAAUAGGAGAUUCCACUUCGCUAUAGGUGUCUAGCCAUUUUCGACUAUGGACUUUCUAUGUCAGUUUGUCUUAGACACUGAGUCUGAUCCUUCAUCCACUAAAAUCCGGAGGAGUUUGGGCAUUGACUUCAGCGAGAGCAGAAUCUGGAUCCCUUUUCCUGAUCUUGCUCUCGCGGACUCAGUGUGUGUCAAAUGUGUAGGAAAGCCAGCUAUCUGUCUAUUUAUAAACCGUGUUCUAAUUCUGUGUGUGCAUCAUUUCCGAGAGAUCGGGAGAAAAGUUUAUUUGUAAAUACAAAUCAGUCUAAACUA